Long non-coding RNA from Eucalyptus grandis, 1087 nucleotides. RefSeq lists it as uncharacterized. The record is from RefSeq and is a predicted model, not a curated record. The transcript has 5 exons. NCBI's taxonomy places the organism in Eukaryota, Viridiplantae, Streptophyta, Magnoliopsida, Myrtales, Myrtaceae.
CAGGAAACCUUAUGUCCUUGCAUGUGAACCGAAGUACAGCUCUGUCGUGGUCAUGGUUGUGCUCAUUAUUCUGGCAAUAAUUUUCUCUCAACCCUCUGCAAGCAAUAACUAAUAUGGGCUCCGUGGGAACACCAGCAAAUCAUAGAGAUUUUUUUGAUGCAGAUGCAUAUAUUUAUUUAUGCUUUUAUAUACGUUUUGCAAUUUGUCCUUCUCCCUCAAAUAAAGGGAAAUAAGUACAACAUCUCACUUUUCUUAAAAUUCAUUUCAGCCCCAACUUACUAAUUCCACAUUCUGUCGUUCCUUACUCCUGGAAAAUCCAUCUUUGAGCUGAUACGUUUGAAUAACUCACAAUAUAGAAUGGAUUAGGAUCAUUAGCAUUUGCACUUGCAACUCCAGUUUUGCAUUAGUUGUUUGUACAUCUACUUCCAAACCUUAGUAAACUCUUGAAACUACGUGCAUUAAUAUCAUAUCAUGCCAAAUUGCUGAGAGUUUGAGGAAAAAACAAUAGGAUUGAAAGAUAGAGAAAGAAAAGGAAACUAAGCAGUUCCCAUAUCCAAUUACGUGCUGAAUUGCUCUAUUUGUCAUUAAAGGAGCUAACUUCUUCACAGAUUGAGCUCCUAACAGAUUUGUGCUUGUUUGCACAAUGCAGGCCGGACAAGAUCUCAAAUUCAUAAGUUUGUUAAUGAUCGGAUGCUUUUCAGUGGGUGCUUUGUUGCUCUUGUAAAGGGUAUGGAUUGCCAGGUUGCUGGUGCGCACUUGUUGGAUUUCAAUGGUGUAGAAGAAAGGGGCAAAUAAUUGGAAUGGCCGUGGCUCUGUGACUUUGUCCGGCAUCCUUAUAGCCAAAAAGCAUGGGUCCACUGGAACUUCAAAUGCAUUGAUUGAUUCUUUGUUCCAUCAUAUCAUAAUUCUUCUUUUUCGGGUCAAGAAAGAUAACCGGUCGAUGCUGGUAUUCUCUUUUAUUUAGUUGAAUUCCUUGUCAAUAAUUCAUUUUCCUCUGUUGAUAGUUUUCUUCGUUUUGUAUUCUCUUUGAUGAAUGACAAGCUUGUUUAUUAUUAUUACGUUCAUUUGCCUUUAUUAAACUAAAAAU